This 253-nucleotide ribosomal RNA is filed under the name uncultured bacterium. RNAcentral's name for it is "partial 16S ribosomal RNA". It matches the Rfam family "Bacterial small subunit ribosomal RNA", at positions 524 to 776 of the family's 1533-position model. The record is from RNAcentral.
UACGUAAGGUGCAAGCGUUGUCCGGAUUUAUUGGGCGUAAAGAGCUCGUAGGCGGUUUGUCGCGUCUGCUGUGAAAACUCGGGGCUCAACCUCGGGCUUGCAGUGGGUACGGGCAGACUGGAGUGCGGUAGGGGAGACUGGAAUUCCUGGUGUAGCGGUGAAAUGCGCAGAUAUCAGGAGGAACACCGGUGGCGAAGGCGGGUCUCUGGGCCGUAACUGACGCUGAGGAGCGAAAGCGUGGGGAGCGAACAGG